UCGUCAGCUCGUGUCGUGAGAUGUGGUUAAGUCCCGCAACGAGCGCAACCCCUAUUGUUAGUUGCCAUCAUUCAGUUGGGCACUCUAGCGAGACUGCCGGUAAUAAACCGGAGGAAGGUGGGGAUGACGUCAAAUCAUCAUGCCCCUUAUGACCUGGGCUACACACGUGCUACAAUGGUUGGUACAACGAGUUGCGAGUCGGUGACGGCGAGCUAAUCUCUUAAAGCCAAUCUCAGUUCGGAUUGUAGGCUGCAACUCGCCUACAUGAAGUCGGAAUCGCUAGUAAUCGCGGAUCAGCACGCCGCGGUGAAUACGUUCCCGGGCCUU
RNAcentral lists this ribosomal RNA (327 nucleotides) under uncultured Streptococcus sp. RNAcentral's name for it is "bacterial SSU rRNA". It matches the Rfam family "Bacterial small subunit ribosomal RNA", at positions 1052 to 1382 of the family's 1533-position model. The record is from RNAcentral. Lineage: Bacteria; Bacillati; Bacillota; Bacilli; Lactobacillales; Streptococcaceae.